UCAGCAGUCCAUAUUGUGCGAUCGAAUGAUGCAAUCUGUGAAAUAUGGCUAAAAAGGCUGCCAGAACUUAAAAUUAAAUCUAGAGGUUCAUGUAGAUUCAGAAUAUAGACAGAACCACCAGCUGCUCCUGAUCCAAAAGUGGUCAUCAUGUGCAGUGUCAAGGAACACAAAUGUGAUCAUAGUUAAUAAUUUUGGGUAGGGAAAAAAAGGACACCAGAUAAGACAAACAGAAUGCGAUAAAUACAAAAGUUGGUUUGGAUACAAAGCAUGGCGAAAGGAAGAACCAUCCUGAGUGGUAUCAGAAAAAUUCCCACUAAACUUCUUUAUGCAGGAAAUACUGGAUGAAAAACCUGGAAGAGACUCUGCCAAGCACCAUAUACCAGCAAUUCCAGAAUCGUCACAUGUUUUGGG
RNAcentral lists this long non-coding RNA (411 nucleotides) under Musa acuminata (dwarf banana). RNAcentral describes it as "long non-coding RNA (MACU_LNC002974)". The record is from RNAcentral. Lineage: Eukaryota; Viridiplantae; Streptophyta; Magnoliopsida; Zingiberales; Musaceae.